UAAAACACGGUUGAGAAUUUGUGCGUAAUUUUCUCAUAAGUGCGUCUCAUUUUGUCUGGAUAAAUUGAAGCUUUCUGUUGGUACAUACAUUAAAGUGACACUUAUUUGAUUUUAAGUACUAUUCGUAUAAUUGUAUUCAAGAUUUUUGUGCGCUGGCUUACCAUUCAAGGAUUUUACCUCAAGACUGGCGACAGAUUCAAGCCAGGCCAUUAUGAAAUGAUAAUCACACGCACCUUGCUUUUUAGUCUUUAAGCGGCUCCUGUUUCGGAAAUUGAGCGUUUCCACUCCUUUAUUUUCACCUUAGUCCUUGGAAAAAACAAAGAGCUAGAACACGGCAUAAUUGUCAAAGUCGAUCGGUCAAGACCUCACGUCUAGAAGGAAGUCAGAGAUAACGAUGAUUUGCGUGGAGAAUUGCUCGCAAAAACCUCCAUGACUGACGUUUAGACGACGGAAUCGUGUGGGCGGGUUGCGUACACUAAUGAUAAGUUGCCAGAUCUUACCGGAAUCUUU
Molecule: long non-coding RNA, 510 nt
Filed under: Bemisia tabaci
Lineage: Eukaryota; Metazoa; Arthropoda; Insecta; Hemiptera; Aleyrodidae
Description: lncRNA ENSSSA2NGG000111
Source: RNAcentral